UCAGUUGACAUUUGCGAUGAAAGCUACAGCUCAGCUGAUACAAUGCCCAUAUCCAACCCCCUUCUUCUAUCUCUUUCUCUCCAAUAGAAGCAGUGAAAGCAAAAAUCUCCAUUGCCCAGCCUCCCUUGAUGUUUGAGUGGCCAUGUGCCGGUGCUUGCCAGUGAGAUGGAAGUGGAGUGGUGCUGGCCCCCUCCAUCCUCUUCCUCUUUCUUCCAGCCUAGAAAACAGAUGUAAUGGCAUCAGAAGCACAGAAGCUAUUCUUCAGCCAUGAGAUGCAGGGAAACGCCUGAAGAGAGGCUCCGCUAGCUGAAAACUAAUCGCAGUUCUCAGGACAGAGUGUGUAAAAUAAACAAUUGGCAAUCAUGGAACUCUCAUGGAAAUAAGGUGCAGAGAGUCCGUGGCCUGCUCCCAG
This is a non-coding RNA of Leptonychotes weddellii (Weddell seal), 412 nucleotides long. Lineage: Eukaryota; Metazoa; Chordata; Mammalia; Carnivora; Phocidae. The record is from RefSeq and is a predicted model, not a curated record.